Molecule: ribosomal RNA, 459 nt
Filed under: uncultured bacterium
Lineage: Bacteria
Description: partial 16S ribosomal RNA
Rfam family: Bacterial small subunit ribosomal RNA
Source: RNAcentral
CCUACGGGUGGCAGCAGUGAGGAAUAUUGGUCAAUGGGCGGGAGCCUGAACCAGCCAAGCCGCGUGAAGGAAGAAGGCGCCAAGCGUCGUAAACUUCUUUUGUCGGGGAACAAAGGGCGCCACGUGUGGCGUUUUGAGUGUACCCGAAGAAGAAGCAUCGGCUAACUCCGUGCCAGCAGCCGCGGUAAUACGGAGGAUGCGAGCGUUAUCCGGAUUUAUUGGGUUUAAGGGGUGCGUAGGCGGUCCGGAAAGUCAGCGGUAAAAUCCCGGGGCUCAACCCCGGCGAGCAGUUGAAACUGGCAGUCUUGAGUACAGUAGAGGUGGGCGGAAUUCGUGGUGUAGCGGUGAAAUGCUUAGAUAUCACGAAGAACUCCGAUUGCGAAGGCAGCUCACUGGACUGCAACUGACACUGAUGCUCGAAAGUGUGGGUAUCAAACAGGAUUAGAUACCCCAGUAGUC